This is a small nucleolar RNA of Pipistrellus kuhlii (Kuhl's pipistrelle), 136 nucleotides long. NCBI's taxonomy places the organism in Eukaryota, Metazoa, Chordata, Mammalia, Chiroptera, Vespertilionidae. The record is from RefSeq and is a predicted model, not a curated record.
UGUGUUCUUUAUUGUAACUUUUUAAUGUAUAAAAAAGCAUGUCAUGGUCAAAAAGGAGCCCAGAGUGACAGUUUUCCUUGACGGUCGCCGUUCUGUUUGCUGUAACUGAUCUGCAACAUUUCAGGAAAAGACAAUU